AGAGUUUGAUCAUGGCUCAGAAUGAACGUUGGCGGCGUGGAUUAGGCAUGCAAGUCGUACGAGAAUCGUAGCAAUACGAGGAAAGUGGCGAAAGGGAGAGGAUUACGUGGGAAUCUACCCUCAGACCUGGGAUAGCGGCGGGAAACUGCCGGUAAUACCAGAUAAUGUCUUUGGACCAAAGGUGUGAUUCCGUCUGGGGAUGAGCCCACGUCCUAUUAGCUUGUUGGUGGGGUAAUGGCCUACCAAGGCAAUGAUGGGUAGCGGGUGUGAGAGCACGACCCGCCUCACUGGGACUGAGAUACUGCCCAGACACCUACGGGUGGCUGCAGUCGAGAAUCUUCGGCAAUGGGCGAAAGCCUGACCGAGCGACGCCGCGUGCGGGAUUGAAGGCCUUCGGGUUGUAAACCGCUGUCGUAGGGGAGCAAGAGAAGAGGGUUCUCCCUCUAAUUUGAGCGAUCCUAGGAGGAAGGACGGGCUAAGUUCGUGCCAGCAGCCGCGGUAAGACGAACCGUCCGAACGUUAUUCGGUAUCACUGGGCUUAAAGAGUUCGUAGGCGGCUCCGUAGGUGAGGUGUGAAAUCCCUCGGCUCAACCGAGGAAUUGCGCUUCAAACCGUGGAGCUAGAGGAAGAUAGGGGUGAGCGGAACAGAUGGUGGAGCGGUGAAAUGCGUUGAUAUCAUCUGGAACACCGGUGGCGAAAGCGGCUCGCUGGAUCUUUUCUGACGCUGAGGAACGAAAGCUAGGGGAGCGAAACGGGAUUAGAUACCCCGGUAGUCCUAGCCGUAAAACGAUGAGCACUAGUCUGUGGGGACCCUCACAUCCUCUCGGACGUAGCGAAAGUGUUAAGUGC
Molecule: ribosomal RNA, 849 nt
Filed under: uncultured bacterium
Lineage: Bacteria
Description: bacterial SSU rRNA
Rfam family: Bacterial small subunit ribosomal RNA
Source: RNAcentral